GUAGGGAAUAUUGCGCAAUGGACGAAAGUCUGACGCAGCGACGCCGCGUGAGUGAUGAAGGCCUUAGGGUCGUAAAGCUCUGUUGAAUGGGAAGAAAAAAAAUGACGGUACCAUUCGAGGAAGGACCGGCUAACUUCGUGCCAGCAGCCGCGGUAAUACGAGGGGUCCUAGCGUUGUUCGGAAUCAUUGGGCGUAAAGGGUGUGUAGGUGGCCAUGUAAGUCAGGUGUGAAAGCCCCGGGCUCAACCCGGGAAGUGCACUUGAUACUGCGUGGCUUGAGUACCGAAGAGGGUAGUGGAAUUCCAGGUGUAGUGGUGAAAUACGUAGAUAUCUGGAGGAACACCGGUGGCGAAGGCGGCUACCUGGUCGAGUACUGACACUGAGACACGAAAGCAUGGGGAUCAAACAGGAUUAGAAACCCUAGUAGUCC
This 429-nucleotide ribosomal RNA is filed under the name uncultured bacterium. Its description in RNAcentral is "partial 16S ribosomal RNA". It matches the Rfam family "Bacterial small subunit ribosomal RNA", at positions 354 to 796 of the family's 1533-position model. The record is from RNAcentral.